Dreissena polymorpha is the source of this 875-nucleotide long non-coding RNA. RefSeq lists it as uncharacterized. Lineage: Eukaryota; Metazoa; Mollusca; Bivalvia; Myida; Dreissenidae. The transcript is spliced from 2 exons. The record is from RefSeq and is a predicted model, not a curated record.
UGCUGGGAGGGGGCAGUUUUUUCAUUAUGCCCCCCCCCCUUUCGAAGAAGAGGGGGUAUAUUGUUUUGCUCAUGUCGGUCCGUCCGUCCACCAGAUGUUUUCCGGAUGAUAACUCAAGAGCGCUUAUGCCAAGGAUCAUGAAACUUCAUAUGUACAUUGAUCAUGACUCGCAGAUGACCGCUAUUGAAUUUAAGGUCACUAGGUCAAAGGUCAAGGUCACGAUGACCGGAAAUAGUAAAAUGGUUUCCAGAUGAUAACUCAAGAACGCUUAUGCCUAGGAUCAUGAAACUUCAUAGGUACAUUGAUCAUGACUCGCAGAUGACCCAUAUUGAUUUUCAGGUCACUAGGUCAAAGGUCAAGGUCACGGUGACCUGAAACAGUAAAAUUGUUUCCAGAUGAUAACUCAAGAACGCUUUUGCCUAGGAUCAUGACACUUCAUAGGUACAUUGAUCAUGACUCGCAGAUGACCCCUAUUGAUUUGGUCACUAGGUCAAGGUCACAGUGACAAAAAACGUAUUCACACAAUGGCUGCCACUACAACGGACAGCCCAUAUGGAGGGCAUGCAUGUUUUACAAACAGCCCUUGUUACUGUAAACUUUAUAUGUAUGUAUUCAUGAAAAUAUGUUUGAAAAAAACAAAAGUUCCAUGUAUGGCAUAAUAAUUUUCCAACUGAAGUCACACAUGUUUGACCAGAAAAAAGUUUUUGAUAGCAUUUGAAAUGUAUUUGCAUUUAAUCAUUUGUAUUAUGCAUGUAACAAAAAUUACAAUUAAUAAAAUAUAUCAUCAAAGCCUUGAUCCCAGCAAUUUUUUUGUCCUGAGCGCAUCUCUCAUUUGGAGCAGCAAGAUAACAAAAUGAAGUCAAUAAUUUCUGUCA